Molecule: small nucleolar RNA, 64 nt
Organism: Stegostoma tigrinum
Lineage: Eukaryota; Metazoa; Chordata; Chondrichthyes; Orectolobiformes; Stegostomatidae
Source: RefSeq, a predicted model, not a curated record
GGCUCUUGUGAUGACUACAUUACCGCCCCAGUCUGAUUUUAUCCAAUGACUGACUGGUACAGUG